Molecule: ribosomal RNA, 427 nt
Filed under: uncultured Acidobacterium sp.
Lineage: Bacteria; Pseudomonadati; Acidobacteriota; Terriglobia; Terriglobales; Acidobacteriaceae
Description: bacterial SSU rRNA
Rfam family: Bacterial small subunit ribosomal RNA
Source: RNAcentral
AACGCGAAGAACCUUACCUGGGCUCGAAGCACAGUGGACCGGGGUAGAAAUAUCCCUUUUCGCAAGAACUGCUGUGGAGGUGCUGCAUGGCUGUCGUCAGCUCGUGUCGUGAGAUGUUGGGUUAAGUCCCGCAACGAGCGCAACCCUUAUCGUUAGUUGCCAGCGGGUCAAGCCGGGCACUCUAGCGAAACCGCCUCGGAUAACGGGGAGGAAGGUGGGGAUGACGUCAAGUCCUCAUGGCCUUUAUGUCCAGGGCUACACACGUGCUACAAUGGCCGGUACAAACCGUCGCAAACCCGCGAGGGGGAGCUAAUCGGAGAAAGCCGGCCUCAGUUCGGAUUGGAGUCUGCAACUCGACUCCAUGAAGCUGGAAUCGCUAGUAAUCGCGGAUCAGCACGCCGCGGUGAAUACGUUCCCGGGCCUUGUA